GGGUUGUGAGGUUAAGCGACUAAGCGUACACGGUGGAUGCCCUGGCAGUCAGAGGCGAUGAAGGACGUGCUAAUCUGCGAUAAGCGUCGGUAAGGUGAUAUGAACCGUUAUAACCGGCGAUUUCCGAAUGGGGAAACCCAGUGUGAUUCGUCACACUAUCAUUAACUGAAUCCAUAGGUUAAUGAGGCGAACCGGGGGAACUGAAACAUCUAAGUACCCCGAGGAAAAGAAAUCAACCGAGAUUCCCCCAGUAGCGGCGAGCGAACGGGGAGCAGCCCAGAGCCUGAAUCAGUGUGUGUGUUAGUGGAAGCGUCUGGAAAGGCGCGCGAUACAGGGUGACAGCCCCGUACACAAAAAUGCACAUGCUGUGAGCUCGAUGAGUAGGGCGGGACACGUGGUAUCCUGUCUGAAUAUGGGGGGACCAUCCUCCAAGGCUAAAUACUCCUGACUGACCGAUAGUGAACCAGUACCGUGAGGGAAAGGCGAAAAGAACCCCGGCGAGGGGAGUGAAAAAGAACCUGAAACCGUGUACGUACAAGCAGUGGGAGCACAGAGCAAUCUGUGUGACUGCGUACCUUUUGUAUAAUGGGUCAGCGACUUAUAUUCUGUAGCAAGGUUAACCGAAUAGGGGAGCCGAAGGGAAACCGAGUCUUAACUGGGCGUUAAGUUGCAGGGUAUAGACCCGAAACCCGGUGAUCUAGCCAUGGGCAGGUUGAAGGUUGGGUAACACUAACUGGAGGACCGAACCGACUAAUGUUGAAAAAUUAGCGGAUGACUUGUGGCUGGGGGUGAAAGGCCAAUCAAACCGGGAGAUAGCUGGUUCUCCCCGAAAGCUAUUUAGGUAGCGCCUCGUGAAUUCAUCUCCGGGGGUAGAGCACUGUUUCGGCAAGGGGGUCAUCCCGACUUACCAACCCGAUGCAAACUGCGAAUACCGGAGAAUGUUAUCACGGGAGACACACGGCGGGUGCUAACGUCCGUCGUGAAGAGGGAAACAACCCAGACCGCCAGCUAAGGUCCCAAAGUCAUGGUUAAGUGGGAAACGAUGUGGGAAGGCCCAGACAGCCAGGAUGUUGGCUUAGAAGCAGCCAUCAUUUAAAGAAAGCGUAAUAGCUCACUGGUCGAGUCGGCCUGCGCGGAAGAUGUAACGGGGCUAAACCAUGCACCGAAGCUGCGGCAGCGACGCUUAUGCGUUGUUGGGUAGGGGAGCGUUCUGUAAGCCUGUGAAGGUGUGCUGUGAGGCAUGCUGGAGGUAUCAGAAGUGCGAAUGCUGACAUAAGUAACGAUAAAGCGGGUGAAAAGCCCGCUCGCCGGAAGACCAAGGGUUCCUGUCCAACGUUAAUCGGGGCAGGGUGAGUCGACCCCUAAGGCGAGGCCGAAAGGCGUAGUCGAUGGGAAACAGGUUAAUAUUCCUGUACUUGGUGUUACUGCGAAGGGGGGACGGAGAAGGCUAUGUUGGCCGGGCGACGGUUGUCCCGGUUUAAGCGUGUAGGCUGGUUUUCCAGGCAAAUCCGGAAAAUCAAGGCUGAGGCGUGAUGACGAGGCACUACGGUGCUGAAGCAACAAAUGCCCUGCUUCCAGGAAAAGCCUCUAAGCAUCAGGUAACAUCAAAUCGUACCCCAAACCGACACAGGUGGUCAGGUAGAGAAUACCAAGGCGCUUGAGAGAACUCGGGUGAAGGAACUAGGCAAAAUGGUGCCGUAACUUCGGGAGAAGGCACGCUGAUAUGUAGGUGAAGCGACUUGCUCGUGGAGCUGAAAUCAGUCGAAGAUACCAGCUGGCUGCAACUGUUUAUUAAAAACACAGCACUGUGCAAACACGAAAGUGGACGUAUACGGUGUGACGCCUGCCCGGUGCCGGAAGGUUAAUUGAUGGGGUUAGCGCAAGCGAAGCUCUUGAUCGAAGCCCCGGUAAACGGCGGCCGUAACUAUAACGGUCCUAAGGUAGCGAAAUUCCUUGUCGGGUAAGUUCCGACCUGCACGAAUGGCGUAAUGAUGGCCAGGCUGUCUCCACCCGAGACUCAGUGAAAUUGAACUCGCUGUGAAGAUGCAGUGUACCCGCGGCAAGACGGAAAGACCCCGUGAACCUUUACUAUAGCUUGACACUGAACAUUGAGCCUUGAUGUGUAGGAUAGGUGGGAGGCUUUGAAGUGUGGACGCCAGUCUGCAUGGAGCCGACCUUGAAAUACCACCCUUUAAUGUUUGAUGUUCUAACGUUGACCCGUAAUCCGGGUUGCGGACAGUGUCUGGUGGGUAGUUUGACUGGGGCGGUCUCCUCCUAAAGAGUAACGGAGGAGCACGAAGGUUGGCUAAUCCUGGUCGGACAUCAGGAGGUUAGUGCAAUGGCAUAAGCCAGCUUGACUGCGAGCGUGACGGCGCGAGCAGGUGCGAAAGCAGGUCAUAGUGAUCCGGUGGUUCUGAAUGGAAGGGCCAUCGCUCAACGGAUAAAAGGUACUCCGGGGAUAACAGGCUGAUACCGCCCAAGAGUUCAUAUCGACGGCGGUGUUUGGCACCUCGAUGUCGGCUCAUCACAUCCUGGGGCUGAAGUAGGUCCCAAGGGUAUGGCUGUUCGCCAUUUAAAGUGGUACGCGAGCUGGGUUUAGAACGUCGUGAGACAGUUCGGUCCCUAUCUGCCGUGGGCGCUGGAGAACUGAGGGGGGCUGCUCCUAGUACGAGAGGACCGGAGUGGACGCAUCACUGGUGUUCGGGUUGUCAUGCCAAUGGCACUGCCCGGUAGCUAAAUGCGGAAGAGAUAAGUGCUGAAAGCAUCUAAGCACGAAACUUGCCCCGAGAUGAGUUCUCCCUGAC
This 2804-nucleotide ribosomal RNA is filed under the name Escherichia coli. RNAcentral describes it as "partial 23S ribosomal RNA". It matches the Rfam family "Bacterial large subunit ribosomal RNA". The record is from RNAcentral. Lineage: Bacteria; Pseudomonadati; Pseudomonadota; Gammaproteobacteria; Enterobacterales; Enterobacteriaceae.